UACGGGGGGGGUAAGCGUUGUUCGGAAUUACUGGGCGUAAAGGGCUCGUAGGCGGCCAACUAAGUCAGACGUGAAAUCCCUCAGCUUAACCGGGGAACUGCGCCUGAUACUGGAUGGCUUGAGUUCGGGAGAGGGAUGCGGAAUUCCAGGUGUAGCGGUGAAAUGCGUAGAUAUCUGGAGGAACACCGGUGGCGAAGGCGGCAUCCUGGACCGACACUGACGCUGAGGAGCGAAAGCCAGGGGAGCAAACGGG
RNAcentral lists this ribosomal RNA (253 nucleotides) under uncultured bacterium. RNAcentral describes it as "partial 16S ribosomal RNA". It matches the Rfam family "Bacterial small subunit ribosomal RNA", at positions 524 to 776 of the family's 1533-position model. The record is from RNAcentral.